This 789-nucleotide ribosomal RNA is filed under the name uncultured archaeon. RNAcentral describes it as "bacterial SSU rRNA". It matches the Rfam family "Archaeal small subunit ribosomal RNA", at positions 85 to 876 of the family's 1478-position model. The record is from RNAcentral.
ACUGCUCAGUAACACGUAGUCAACCUAACUCGUGGACGUGGAUAACCUCGGGAAACUGAGAAUAAACCACGAUAGAUCAUAGUGCCUGGAAUGGCUUAUGGUCCAAACAGUUUACUGUCAUGGGAUGGGACUGCGGCCUAUCAGCUUGUUGGUGAGGUAAUGGCCCACCAAGGCGAUUACAGGUACGGGCUCUGAGAGGAGAAGUCCGGAGAUGGGUACUGAGACACGGACCCAGGCCCUAUGGGGCGCAGCAGGCGAGAAACCUUAGCAAUGUGCGAAAGCACGAUUGGGUCAGUCCGAGUGAUUCCUGAUAAAGGAGUCUUUUGCUUGUCCUAAAAGCACAGGUGAAUAAGGGGUGGGCAAGUCUGGUGUCAGCCGCCGCGGUAAUACCAGCACCUCGAGUGGUCAGGACGUUUAUCGGGCCUAAAGCAUCCGUAGCCGGCUCUGCAAGUCUUCGGUUAAAUCCACCUGCUCAACAGAUGGGCCGCUGGAGAUACUACAGAGCUAGGGAGUGGGAGAGGCAGACGGUAUUCAGUGGGUAGGGGUAAAAUCCUCUGAUCCAUUGAGGACCACCAGUGGCGAAGGCGGUCUGCCAGAACACGUUCGACGGUGAGGGAUGAAAGCUGGGGGAGCAAACCGGAUUAGAUACCCGGGUAGUCCCAGCUGUAAACGAUGCAAACUCGGUGAUGCAUUGGCUUAUGGCCAAUGCAGUGCCGCAGGGAAGCCGUUAAGUUUGCCGCCUGGGAAGUACGGACGCAAGUCUGAAACUUAAAGGAAUUGGCGGGGGAG